This 468-nucleotide ribosomal RNA is filed under the name uncultured bacterium. Its description in RNAcentral is "partial 16S ribosomal RNA". It matches the Rfam family "Bacterial small subunit ribosomal RNA", at positions 28 to 507 of the family's 1533-position model. The record is from RNAcentral.
GACGAACGCUGGCGGCGUGCUUAACACAUGCAAGUCGAACGGAAAGGCCCUGCUUUUGUGGGGUGCUCGAGUGGCGAACGGGUGAGUAACACGUGAGUAACCUGCCCUUGACUUUGGGAUAACUUCAGGAAACUGGGGCUAAUACCGGAUAGGAGCUCCUGCUGCAUGGUGGGGGUUGGAAAGUUUCGGCGGUUGGGGAUGGACUAGCGGCUUAUCAGCUUGUUGGUGGGGUAGUGGCUUACCAAGGCUUUGACGGGUAGCCGGCCUGGGAGGGUGACCGGCCACAUUGGGACUGGGAUACGGCCCAGACUCCUACGGGAGGCAGCAGUGGGAAAUAUUGCAAAAUGGGCGGAAGCCGGAUGCAGCAACGCCGCGUGCGGGAUGACGGCCUUCGGGUUGUAAACCGCUUUCGCCUGUGACGAAGCGUGAGUGACGGUAAUGGGUAAAGAAGCACCGGCUAACUACGUG